UUUAAAUGGGGUGGCAAUUCUAAACCCAGGGGUGGGAAAUCUAAUUCCCAAGUAAUUGCCAAUCUUCUGGUUGGAGCCAUACACCAGAAUGGAGGAGUUAGAAAAACCACCACCUUGUAACCCAAAUUGCAGCAAACCAGAGAGUUCUCCGUCGUCAACAUGGUUCGACAUGGAACUUCCACUGCCAACUACUACAUCCUCAGAAACAGAGCCAUUUCGACUGGACCAAGCUGUGUGCAGCCAUGGCCUCUUCAUGAUGGCACCCAACAGCUGGGACCCACUCUCCAACACCCUCACUCGCCCACUGCGUCUUCACGACCAAGACACCGACCCUUCUUCUUCUUCGCCGUCGUUCAUCGUUACAGUUUCUCAGCGCUCCGAAUCCAUCGCCGUCAGGGUUCAUCAUGGGACCCACUUGCUCUCCCCUCACGAAGUUCGCGCCUUGAUGGCUCAGGUGUCGAGAAUGCUGCGAUUUUCCGAAGCGGAAGAGGAAGCUGUGAGAGGGUUCAGAAGCAUGCCCCUUGAUCAUCACAAUAGAAGCUUUGGUGGGAGGGUGUUUAGGUCUCCCACAUUGUUUGAGGAUAUGGUGAAGUGCAUUCUCCUCUGCAACUGCCAGUGGCCAAGGACUUUGAGCAUGGCUCAGGCGCUUUGUGAGCUUCAGCUGGAACUGCAAAAAGGGUCACCUCAUGAUGCUGUUGCGGCCUCGGGCAAUUUGAAAGUUAAGACCAGUGAUUUCUCCCCCAAGACACCAGCUGCUAGAGAGACAGGGAGAAAGGGUGUUAAUUCGUCUGGUGUUUCGAGAAAAGGCAUGUUUGUGAAGAAGAAAUUGGAGUUUGAACGGGAUGAUAUUUCGCAAAUGGAUCAUGUGUUGGAAUCUCGUUCGAAUGCGGCCUUGCUUCCAACAGAUAUAAAUGGCAAUGCAGGUCAUGGUUGUAACUCUUGUCAAGCCACAGAAGAGCUUGAUUCAGAUGAUACUUUCCCUGAUGGAAGAGAGUAUUUUAACCGCACUGGAAAUUUUCCAUCCCCAAGUGAGCUAGCGAACCUUGAUGAGAGUUUUCUAGCAAACCGAUGCAAACUUGGGUACAGAGCAAGUUAUAUAAUAAAACUUGCCCGAGCCAUUGUAGAAGGCAAAAUUCAAUUAAGACAACUUGAAGAACUCUCCGAAGGCGCAAGCUUAUCAAUUUAUACACAACUUGAUGAUCAGCUGAAGCAAAUUAAGGGGUUUGGCCCUUUUACUCGUGCCAAUGUUCUUAUGUGUAUGGGGUAUUACCAUGUCAUUCCAACUGAUUCUGAAACUAUUAGACAUUUGAAACAGGUUCAUUCAAGAAACUCGACCUCUAGAACAAUUGAGAGAGAUGUAGAAGAAAUUUAUGGAAAGUAUGAGCCCUAUCAGUUCCUGGCCUACUGGUCUGAAAUAUGGGACUUCUACGAAAGAAGGUUUGGGAAGAUGAACGAAAUGCAUUCUUCUGAAUAUAAACUUAUAACCGCUGCUAAUAUGAGAAGCGCGGGUAAAAGCCCAAGUAAGAGAAAGAGAGCAACCUGAAAGUGCCAAUGAUGCAGUCCUCUCCACAUAACCAAGUAUUCUACCAAGGACUGGGACUGGGAGUGAACCACAAACUUCGCCAUAACUGUUUUUCUAAGGAAAGAUUGCUAUUUAAUGGUUGAAUUGUCUUUUCCUUUAAAUAGAAGACCCCGAGACAAGGGUUAAUGAGGUGAUGAAGCGAGAAAAAAACACAAUUGUCUACUCCGAUGAACUUUGGUGGGGCAUUAAGGUUUGCGGUGGAGAUAACUCGAACCCCAGCGCGAUCCACAAAUAAGACACGACCACUCAAACUAUGGACCUCUAUCCAUCUUGGGCCACUCAUGUCCAACUUAAAGAUGAGAAAGUCUUCUAUCUCAUAGUCAUGGCUCAUGUACUUGCAUCUGAAAAGAACUAACAACACUUCCCCACACGUAGGGUCUCUUGCCAGCCUAUGCAUAUUUACUCUUUCUCCAUCACUAUCAAGCUUUGGUAACUGCAUAACCAACCUUUCAGCCGUAAUGGCAUUGAGAUCUUCAAGAUUGAAAAUAGUCACAAAAUCUUCAUUCAUAGCAUAUAAUUUCCAUCCAAGAAGCAUUAUAUCCUUGACUUCAAAACGUGACUCAAUUGUUUCAAUGCGAGACCAUGACUUGUCAUUGUCGACCCUGCAAAAACAGAGCUGUGGGAUCGAUCCAUCUUUAUCAUCAGCAGAAUAUAAAGAUAUCACCACCAAAUAGCUUUGAGAAGAGAAGGCAACUCUAAGAUUAUAAGGAAUCGUAUGCCCUGGUGGUAAUUGUGGGAGUUUAUAACUUUCACUAGAAACUGGAUUGAAAAUCCAUAACAAAUUAUUACAAAUGCUUUGGAACAUCAACCACCCCUCUUCUUCUGACCUAAGAGAUGCAAAGUGACCUUUCCCGACAUGAGUUGGGACCCUAAGCAGACGGUUGUCCCGUGUGAUGUCGUCGAAAAGGGUAGUGGGAUCUCCAGUAUUGCAAAGAAGAGUGGGUGGAAGCAACAGCCGGGCUGGGAACCGAGGAGUAGGUGGACCUUUGUUCUUGAUUGCACCGUUAACUAUACUACGCCAUCCACGACACACUAGUCGACACUUAAGCUCCAACCAAGACUUUCAGAAUCUCAACAACAGUAUGCUCCUCACCCUGUCCCAUGACAACUCAGGAUUCGAGUCCAAUAAUGAAUACUUGUUGCUGGUCCCAGGAAACUCUGCAGCUGGCACUGUCGUUUUUUUCUUUAUUUUUGUUUUUCUUGCUUUUAUUUUCUUUCAAUUCCUCAUCUUUUCUCUUAUCUUGCUCCUUUUCAUUCUCAAUCCUUUUCUCUUCAUUUUGUUUCUCUCAGUUUUUCUCUUCCUCACUUUGUUUU
RNA transcript from Lotus japonicus, 2896 nucleotides. RefSeq lists it as uncharacterized. Lineage: Eukaryota; Viridiplantae; Streptophyta; Magnoliopsida; Fabales; Fabaceae. The transcript is spliced from 7 exons. The record is from RefSeq and is a predicted model, not a curated record.